This 346-nucleotide ribosomal RNA is filed under the name uncultured bacterium. Its description in RNAcentral is "partial 16S ribosomal RNA". It matches the Rfam family "Bacterial small subunit ribosomal RNA", at positions 338 to 676 of the family's 1533-position model. The record is from RNAcentral.
CCUACGGGAGGCAGCAGUGGGGAAUAUUGCGCAAUGGGCGAAAGCCUGACGCAGCGACGCCGCGUGAGGGAUGAAGGUCUUCGGAGCGGAAACCUCUGUCAGCAGGGAAGAACGGUCACUGUGCUAAGCAGCAGUGAAUGGACGGUACCUGCAAAGGAAGCACCGGCGACCUCCGUGCCAGCAGCCGCGGUAAUACGGCGGGUGCGAGCGUUAAUCGGAAUUACUGGGCGGAAACCGCACGUAGGCGGUAUGUCAUGUCAAGGGUGAACUCCCCGCGCUCAACGUGGGAACUGCCUUUGAAACUGGCACUCUGGAGUGUGUGAGAGGCUAGUGGAAUUCCCGGUGU